This 250-nucleotide unclassified non-coding RNA is filed under the name plant metagenome. Its description in RNAcentral is "partial contains small subunit ribosomal RNA, internal transcribed spacer 1, and 5.8S ribosomal RNA". The stretch from base 196 to 250 matches the Rfam family "5.8S ribosomal RNA", at positions 1 to 54 of the family's 154-position model. The record is from RNAcentral.
GUAGGUGAACCUGCGGAGGGAUCAUUACAGAGUUCUCGCCCUCGCGGGUAGAUCUCCCACCCACUGUUAUUGCUACUGUGUUGCUUUGGCGGGCUGCUGGGCCCAGCCUGGCCGCCGGCUCCGGCUGGCGCGCGCCCGCCAGAGGCCCGAUUAAUUCUGAUUGUCAGUGUCGUCUGAGUACUAUAUAAUAGUUAAAACUUUCAACAACGGAUCUCUUGGUUCUGGCAUCGAUGAAGAACGCAGCAUCUGA